This 437-nucleotide ribosomal RNA is filed under the name uncultured Oscillospiraceae bacterium. RNAcentral describes it as "bacterial SSU rRNA". It matches the Rfam family "Bacterial small subunit ribosomal RNA", at positions 341 to 792 of the family's 1533-position model. The record is from RNAcentral. Lineage: Bacteria; Bacillati; Bacillota; Clostridia; Eubacteriales; Oscillospiraceae.
ACGGGAGGCAGCAGUGGGGAAUAUUGGGCAAUGGGCGAAAGCCUGACCCAGCAACGCCGCGUGAAGGAAGAAGGUCUUCGGAUUGUAAACUUCUUUUAUAAGGGACGAAGAAAGUGACGGUACCUUAUGAAUAAGCCACGGCUAACUACGUGCCAGCAGCCGCGGUAAUACGUAGGUGGCAAGCGUUAUCCGGAUUUACUGGGUGUAAAGGGCGCGUAGGCGGGGAUGCAAGUCAGAUGUGAAAUCUAUGGGCUUAACUCAUAAACUGCAUUUGAAACUGUAUCUCUUGAGUGCUGGAGAGGUAGAUGGAAUUCCUUGUGUAGCGGUGAAAUGCGUAGAUAUAAGGAAGAACACCAGUGGCGAAGGCGAUCUACUGGACAGUAACUGACGCUGAGGCGCGAAAGCGUGGGGAGCAAACAGGAUUAGAUACCCUGGUA